AGGAUGAACGCUGGCGGCGUGCCUAAUACAUGCAAGUCGAGCGGUAAGGCCACUUCGGUGGUACACGAGCGGCGGACGGCUGAGUAACACGUAGGAACGUACCCCAAACUGAGGCAUAAGCACCAGAAAUGGUGUCUAAUACCGCAUGUGCUCUUCGGAGUAAAGCUACGGCGGUUUGGGAACGGCCUGCGCAUGAUUAGCUUGUUGGCGAGGUAAUAGCUCACCAAGGCGACGAUCAUUAGCUGGUCUGAGAGGAUGAUCAGCCAGACUGGGACUGAGAACGGCCCAGACUCCUACGGGAGGCAGCAGUAGGGAAUUUUCCACAAUGGGCGAAAGCCUGAUGGAGCAACGCCGCGUGCAGGAUGAAUGCCUUCGGGUUGUAAACUGUCUUUUAUCUGUGACGAUUAUGACGGUAGCAGAUGAAUAAGGAUCGGACUAACUCCGUGUCAGCAGCCGCGGU
Molecule: ribosomal RNA, 460 nt
Filed under: uncultured bacterium
Lineage: Bacteria
Description: SSU rRNA
Rfam family: Bacterial small subunit ribosomal RNA
Source: RNAcentral